This 112-nucleotide ribosomal RNA is filed under the name uncultured eukaryote. RNAcentral describes it as "partial small subunit ribosomal RNA". It matches the Rfam family "Eukaryotic small subunit ribosomal RNA", at positions 1675 to 1785 of the family's 1831-position model. The record is from RNAcentral.
GUCGCUCCUACCGAUUGAACGUGCUGGUGAAGCGUUAGGACUGGAACUUUGGGCCGGUUUCCUGCCCAUCGUUUCGGGAAUUUCGUUGAACCCUCCCGUUUAGAGGAAGGAG